UCAACCAUCCCUUUAACAAAGACACCAAUUGCUGCAUAAUUUGAACACUACUCGUCGCGAAACAAAGCUCCAUCCACAUUACAUUUGAGUGUGCCGAUAAUUGGCCUCUAUCACCCAGGAAUAGUCGAAUCAAACUAAUGAGCUACUGGUUUUGCAGUACCAUAAACCGAUUGAGCCUCCAACCAUUGCAUAAGAAAAUUGUCUGCAAUGUCAAUAACAUGCUGCGGGGAAUGAGCCUCACCUUUCCAAACAAGCAGGUUAUGAUGGAACCAAAUACUCCACAUGAUGGUGAGAAUCCGAUGAAAU
This 306-nucleotide long non-coding RNA is filed under the name Gossypium barbadense (sea-island cotton). RNAcentral's name for it is "long non-coding RNA (GBAR_LNC012883)". The record is from RNAcentral. Lineage: Eukaryota; Viridiplantae; Streptophyta; Magnoliopsida; Malvales; Malvaceae.